CCUACGGGGGGCUGCAGUGAGGAAUAUUGGUCAAUGGGCGCAAGCCUGAACCAGCCAUCCCGCGUGAAGGAUGAAGGUCCUAUGGAUUGUAAACUUCUUUUAUACACCAAGAAAAAGCAGGACGUGUCCUGCCCCGACGGUAGUGUAUGAAUAAGCAUCGGCUAACUCCGUGCCAGCAGCCGCGGUAAUACGGAGGAUGCAAGCGUUAUCCGGAUUCAUUGGGUUUAAAGGGUGCGUAGGCGGCUUUUUAAGUCAGUGGUGAAAUCCUGCCGCUU
This 275-nucleotide ribosomal RNA is filed under the name uncultured bacterium. Its description in RNAcentral is "partial 16S ribosomal RNA". It matches the Rfam family "Bacterial small subunit ribosomal RNA", at positions 338 to 610 of the family's 1533-position model. The record is from RNAcentral.